RNAcentral lists this ribosomal RNA (250 nucleotides) under Proteus mirabilis. Its description in RNAcentral is "partial 23S ribosomal RNA". It matches the Rfam family "Bacterial large subunit ribosomal RNA", at positions 2701 to 2925 of the family's 2925-position model. The record is from RNAcentral. Lineage: Bacteria; Pseudomonadati; Pseudomonadota; Gammaproteobacteria; Enterobacterales; Morganellaceae.
ACGCACCACUGGUGUUCGGGUUGUCAUGCCAAUGGCAUUGCCCGGUAGCUAAGUGCGGAAGAGAUAACCGCUGAAAGCAUCUAAGCGGGAAACUUGCCUCGAGAUGAGUCUUCCCUGUCGCUUUAAGCGACCUAAAGGAACGUUUAAGACUAAGACGUUGAUAGGCUGGGUGUGUAAGCGUAGCGAUACGUUGAGCUAACCAGUACUAAUGAACCGUGAGGCUUAACCUGACAACACCGAAAGUGUUUUG